Molecule: long non-coding RNA, 426 nt
Organism: Erinaceus europaeus (western European hedgehog)
Lineage: Eukaryota; Metazoa; Chordata; Mammalia; Eulipotyphla; Erinaceidae
Exons: 2
Source: RefSeq, a predicted model, not a curated record
CUCUGCAUUCUCUCUCUGGGUGCUUGCUCUUGGGAUGGAGCUGCCAUGCUAUCUGGAUCAUGUCUUAAAAGAAAAAAGGGCAUCUGGAAAGAUAGAAACAAGCUGGGAGUAUCGAUCGAUGCCCAUAUCCAGCAUAGAAGCAAUUACAGCAACCAGACCUUCCACCAUCUGCACCCCAUAAAGAAUUUUGGUCUAUACUUCCAGAGGGAUAAAGAAUAAGGAAACUUCCAAUGAAGAGUAGGGGAUAUGGAACUCUGGUAGCGGUAAUUGUACCCCUCUUAUACCAUAAUCUUGUCAGUCAUUAUUAAAUCACUAAUAACAAACAUAAAAAAAAAAAACAUCAAGCAUGCAAAACAUGUGAUUCACUGCUGAGUAACCUCCUGGCUUAUCUGCUUUAUUAUUAAAGUAACCCUUUGAUUGACUAUA